AUGUUGCGUGAAGGUGAAGCGUCUGGGAAGGCGUACCGGAGUGGGUGAGAGUCCUGUAACUGUAAGCGUGGCACUGGUGUGGGGUUGCCCCGAGUAGCGUGGGACUCGUGGAAUUUCGCGUGAAUCUGGCGGGACCACCCGUCAAGCCUAAAUACUCCUUGGUGACCGAUAGUGGAUGAGUACCGUGAGGGAAGGGUGAAAAGUACCCCGGGAGGGGAGUGAAAGAGUUCCUGAA
This 235-nucleotide ribosomal RNA is filed under the name Rhodosorus marinus. RNAcentral's name for it is "partial Bacterial large subunit ribosomal RNA". It matches the Rfam family "Bacterial large subunit ribosomal RNA", at positions 320 to 554 of the family's 2925-position model. Lineage: Eukaryota; Rhodophyta; Stylonematophyceae; Stylonematales; Stylonemataceae. The record is from RNAcentral.